AUGGUAUCUAUCACCAUCCUUUCCCUCAUUGUGACUCUUCACCCAGGUGUCCUCACUGAGGUGCAGCUGGUGCAGUCUGGGGCAGAGGUGAAAAGGCCUGGGGAGCCUCUGACAAUCUCCUGUAAGGCCUCUGGAUACAGCUUUACUGAUUACUGGAUAAGCUGUGUGGACCAAGAUCCAGGGAAGGGCCUGGAGUGGAUAGGAAGCAUUUAUCCUGAUGAUUCAGAUACACAAUACAGCCCAUCCUUCCAAGGACAAGUCACCAUCUCCACAGAAAACUCUGCCAGCACUGCCUACCUGAAGUGGACUGGCCUGAAGGAUUCAGACACAGCCAUGUAUUACUGUGCACCGUGUGAAGUUCAGCUGGUGGAGUUUGGAAGAUAUGAUCUGGAUGGAACAACAGCCCUACACUCUCCACACACCUGCAUGGUGGCCACUUUCUCCCUGACCACUUGGGUAGCAAACAAGCCUUCUCUGAAACCUGCAGAAUUAUUUCCACCUUCUGCAAAUAACAUGGUUGUGGCUAUAACAGCCACAAUCACCAGGGUGAAAGUCCCACUCUCUAUGAACACCGGGAUGGACCUGCCCUUCCCAAAACUGGGGCAGCCGCCCUUCUCUCCUGGCCCUAGGAUGUCUCUUCAUGUCUGA
This is a non-coding RNA of Choloepus didactylus (southern two-toed sloth), 648 nucleotides long. The record is from the annotation of a RefSeq genome assembly. NCBI's taxonomy places the organism in Eukaryota, Metazoa, Chordata, Mammalia, Pilosa, Megalonychidae.